Long non-coding RNA from Corylus avellana, 1130 nucleotides. RefSeq lists it as uncharacterized. The record is from RefSeq and is a predicted model, not a curated record. Lineage: Eukaryota; Viridiplantae; Streptophyta; Magnoliopsida; Fagales; Betulaceae.
CGAUGAUGCUUCAGUUCAGUUCUUUGCAGUUGGACAAACGACAGAUCACUCUUCCGCCUUCUUCCUCGCCAGUCGCAUCUUUUCAGGCCUACAGCUCGCAGACUGCACUUCUUCUUUCAUCGCAGAGUAGUGACCAGCCAGAGAUGGUCAUACCAGUACGACCAAUCAAAUUGGAAAUGAAAGUGUUUUAAGCCUCCAAACCCUGUUACCAGUCAACCUUCUCAACUCCACAAGUCAAGGAGCAUCCAGCUUUCACGUGAUAGAUGGAGACCCUGUGCUUCACAAUCCUGCUAUGGGAAUUGGGAUACCCUGCUCAUGGACAGCUUCUAAACCAUGUUACCAAUCAACCUUAUUUCAGCUCCACAAGUCAAGGAGCAUCCAGCUUUCACAAGAUAGAAAGCCCUGUGGUUGACAAUUUCCAUUCCUUGAAUGCUGGAAACAUGAUACUUGCAAAUGCUUCAUCAUAAUCAAUGCCCUAUGUCUUUCAUUGAAUUGGACGCAUCACAAACUGGAGUAGACACAUCUGAACUUGGGGUGACAUCUACUUCUAAUGGAGCAAGUUCACAAGAGCAGCAGCUUACACCGAAUAGUCAGGAGGUAAGCAUGGAUGACAUUUGGGAUUAUCUGUCAGGGGCGACAUCUCAGCUUGCACCGAAUAGCAAGGACAGCUUCUACGCUGAUCUGCCACCGCUGAUUGACAUCUAUGAUUGGUGGGUUUUAAUUAUAUCUUAGAUAGAAUUUGCAUAAUCAUAACCUCUUGUUUUUAUAACUAGAAGACCCCAUUAAAGUUGAUGGAAUACCUCGUCUUUCGGAGUAGAAACUUGUACACCAUUUUUCUUAAAUAUUUGAAUAUGUGGUUCUUUAUUUUUUUGGUGGUAAAUACCUUUCUAUAUGGUGCAAGUAGUUAAACAAACCAUAUACGAAAAAAAAAGGGAAAAAAAAAUGAGAACCACUUUAGGAAGCCAAAUUAAUUUCAUGUAGAAUCAGUCAACUUGUAAGAGAGAAUAGAGUUUUGAUUGAGGGUAGUGUUAAAGACAAGAAAUAGAAUGACGGAAUAGAUAACUUUGGCAUUGAAUGUGGAGAAAGUGCAUUUUCAUUAUUAAAUUAGAGAAUAUAUUAAUUAAAUCUUU